RNAcentral lists this long non-coding RNA (253 nucleotides) under Populus tremula. Its description in RNAcentral is "long non-coding RNA (PTRE_LNC000212)". The record is from RNAcentral. Lineage: Eukaryota; Viridiplantae; Streptophyta; Magnoliopsida; Malpighiales; Salicaceae.
UUGCUUGUUUUUGUUGCGGAGAAAAACCAAAUCCGGUUCAAUUCGCAAGGGCUGGAACAACAUGCUGCACGCUUUUCUACUUUAACAUCUCUCUCUCUCUCUCUCUCUAGCUAAUGUUUUAAAGCAUGUAGAAACCAGAUCUUGUUCACGGGGGCGUCAAGGAGCAAGGACUGUGCUUCUAAGCUUUAAACAGAUCGUGUUCAUCCCUGCACAAAACAAAUGGUUAAAAAAAGAGAGACAUCUGGUUGCUUGU